This 38-nucleotide unclassified non-coding RNA is filed under the name Trypanosoma theileri. Lineage: Eukaryota; Euglenozoa; Kinetoplastea; Trypanosomatida; Trypanosomatidae. The record is from RNAcentral.
ACUUUAUAAUUUGGUUCACAUAAUUUAUGUGUACUAGU